GGGGUAGUAAAGGUCUCGACAGGGAUCUUGAAGCUUUAGAAGCGAGCCGCAGGAUGAUGCGUCAAAUCUCAAAUUAAAUUUAAACGCUGAAGAUAACGCGAGUCGCCUGAAUCUCCCUAUGGGUUCAGUCACCGGCUUCAAACACAUAGGACACGGCAUCUGCAAAGCUUUGAGCUGAUGUACGUAUCAUGAAGCUACUGAAACCGGAAGGACGUGCUCUUCCGUCCGGCAGAGGGAAUGAAAAACAGAUCACUACGCUCGUAGAAGGAGAGUGAAUAGGUUUUUGGACGCGGGUUCGACUCCCGCCUACUCCAU
RNAcentral lists this transfer-messenger RNA (315 nucleotides) under bovine gut metagenome. It matches the Rfam family "transfer-messenger RNA". Rfam says of the family: Bacterial tmRNA, also known as 10Sa RNA or SsrA, is named for its dual tRNA and mRNA-like properties. The record is from RNAcentral.